AUUGAACGCUGGCGGCAUGCCUUACACAUGCAAGUCGAGCGGCAGCACGGGAGCAAUCCUGGUGGCGAGUGGCGAACGGGUGAGUAAAGUAUCGGAACGUGCCCAGUCGUGGGGGAUAACGUAGCGAAAGUUACGCUAAUACCGCAUACGAUCCAUGGAUGAAAGCGGGGGAUCGCAAGACCUCGCGCGAUUGGAGCGGCCGAUAUUAGAUUAGGUAGUUGGUGGGGUAAAGGCUCACCAAGCCGACGAUCUGUAGCUGGUCUGAGAGGACGACCAGCCACACUGGGACUGAGCAACGGCCCAGACUCCUACGGGAGGCAGCAGUGGGGAAUUUUGGACAAUGGGCGAAAGCCUGAUCCAGCCAUGCCGCGUGCAGGAUGAAGGCCUUCGGGUUGUAAACUGCUUUUGUACGGAACGAAAAGGUUUGGCCUAAUAAGCUGAGCUCAUGACGGUACCGUAAGAAUAAGCACCGGCUGACUACGUGCCAGCCGCCGCUGUAA
RNAcentral lists this ribosomal RNA (500 nucleotides) under uncultured bacterium. RNAcentral describes it as "partial 16S ribosomal RNA". It matches the Rfam family "Bacterial small subunit ribosomal RNA", at positions 30 to 523 of the family's 1533-position model. The record is from RNAcentral.